CCACCCCCCGGCCCCCUCCUCUGAAGAGGAGGGGGAGCACAACGCCAAUCCCCCCCUCCUCUUCAGAGGAGGGGGCCGGGGGGUGG
RNAcentral lists this small RNA (86 nucleotides) under Novosphingobium sp. SG916. RNAcentral describes it as "microRNA MIR1846". The record is from RNAcentral. RNAcentral also lists the same sequence under 1 other name. Lineage: Bacteria; Pseudomonadati; Pseudomonadota; Alphaproteobacteria; Sphingomonadales; Sphingomonadaceae.